Non-coding RNA from Trichechus manatus latirostris (Florida manatee), 423 nucleotides. The record is from the annotation of a RefSeq genome assembly. Lineage: Eukaryota; Metazoa; Chordata; Mammalia; Sirenia; Trichechidae.
GGCAGGGGCAGCAAGAUGGUGCCACAGACUCUGUUCCUCAUGUCCCUGUUGCUCUGGGCCUCUGACUCCAGUGGGGACACUGUGAUGACUCAGUCUCCAGCCUCUCUGGCUGUGUCUCCAGGAGAAACGGCCACCAUCAACUGCAAGUCCAGCCAGAGUGUGAGCAGCUAUUAUUUAUACUGGUAUCAGCAGAAACCAGGACAGGCUCCUAAGCUGCUCAUCUACGCUGCAUCUAACCGGGCAUCUGGGGUCCCUGACCAGUUCAGUGGCAGUGGGUCUGGGACAGACUUCACUCUCACCAACAGCAGCCUCCAGGCUGAAGAUGCCACAGUUUAUUACUGUCAGCAUAGUUACAGCACUCCACCCAAAGUGCUUCAGCCUGGAACACAAACCUCCUCCCCAGGGCUACAGGCCAGAGAGUGA